Long non-coding RNA from Alexandromys fortis (reed vole), 3128 nucleotides. RefSeq lists it as uncharacterized. The transcript has 4 exons. The record is from RefSeq and is a predicted model, not a curated record. NCBI's taxonomy places the organism in Eukaryota, Metazoa, Chordata, Mammalia, Rodentia, Cricetidae.
UUAAUUGCUUGAUUUUAAUUCGACAUAGAUCUUAAGCACUGGAGAUACUCAGGGAGCAAGAGACAAACCCACCUGUGGAUAUGAGCUUCCCAAGGGAGAGUCCCCUUGAAGUGUCUGAGUGGUGAUUGUACAAUAGGAUUUUGGAAGCUCUCAAAACCUCAUUGUUGAAUGGGUUUCUAGGGGACUCUCCCCCCGACUCUGUCUAUGUUCCCCUCUUCAAUUACUGAGAGUAUAGGGAAGCUCCAGAGGUUCCUUAGAUAGGAUUACAACCAGAUAGCAUAAAAACAGGAGCCACUAAGGUUGUGCAGGGUCAGAACUUGUCCUGCUGCUGCAAAGGAAUUUCUGGGGAGACUCUGGGAAACUUGAGGCUUACAGCUCGGAUGGGAGAAAAGCCCUAAGCAAAUGUAAUCAUAUUGGAACUCUGAUUGGCAAGAGGCUUCAGUCAGAUUCCAGGAUGGGGUUUCUAUUUCCUUCCCCUGGCCCCAAAACUUUUUCACUGCCUAACCUGCCUCCUGACCACCUUCCAGGCAGUUGAUGCUCCAGUUCCCUUUGAUCAUGUGGUCACUCACCCACCUGUAGUUUUGUGGGACACCAUGUGCCUAUCCCCACAUCAGGUACUUUCCAGUCCAGAACCCUUGCUGCUCUGGACCGGAAUCCAUAGGUCCCUUGAGUCCAGAGUCAGGAAGCAAUUCAGUCAUGUUCGCACGGCUAGGAAGAGGCAGGGGCAGUCCUCAAGUCCUGUGUCCUUGAUGUCGCACUGCUCUUGAGCCUUGUGUGCCCGUGUGUCUGCAGGUCCUGGUUUCCAACCGUCCUGGCACCUGUCACAGUUUAGCAGGUUACCAUGGUAUCGCUACCCAGCACCGGGGCAGCAGGGACCACCAUCUGUUUACACUGCUGUCAGAGGAAUUGAUGUCAUGUGAAACUGUCAGCUCAGCAGGGAGGGAGGAGGAAGAGUGGGCGGCUACAGAAGCUUCCAAGCCAUCUAAACCCAUCUCCAUCAAGAGCCACUGCUCCCGGAGGAAAAUGGAGAAGGGGGAGGGGGGCUGUGAGAGCACUUCCCAAGGGGCAGAAGUGAGUGGCUAUUGUACUAUUCUUCCCAUUUGCUGCAGACACAAUUCACAAGCUCUUGUCGCUCUCACAGCCCCAGGGUGGCUGCCACCAGCCCCUCCUCUUUACAGAUGUUCUAAGGGAUAAAGCAAAGGCUGGAGAGAAGAGGAGCUCUUUCAAGGUCAGAGGAAGUUGGGUCCACUAGGAAUAGCUCCCCAGUUCUCAGACAGCCAGGUCCAGGGAAGCACCAGGAAACUUGCUGUUGGCCACGCCUGUGGAAAGAGGAAGAGGACAGACCAUGAGAAAGACUGGCCAUGAGCCCUGAUGCUGGAUUCCACAGUUCAGCCAUGACCAACGCUUCAACAAGGAGAAAGCAACUGCCCAGGACAGCCUUUCCAAGGGACAGUUCCAGAAGCAUAACCAGAGUGUUGGAGACAAGGGAAGUGGAGAGCAAACAAGACACACCCACCCUCGGGGACAGGAAGAACUUGACCUGCCACAGCCCUCCGUGGGACACCAGUCUUCUACAAAGUCAGGAAAGAUUUCAGGGAGGCUAAGGCAGAGCUGAAACCAACAGUUACUUGAGUCUUCGUUGACAAGAGGGGAGAGUGUUAUAGAAGUCUUCAGGAGACAAGUGGAGAAGUUUCCCAGUGGGCGGAAGUGUCCCACCUUGACAAAAUUCCUCAGGGCAAUCCUGGCCAUCACUUCCUCCUCCUCUCCACUCCCCACAUCUAAGAAGCGGGCGCGUAAAUGGAGCUGUAAUUAAUAUGCAGUCGGCAAAGGCUAAUUAAGAAUUUAUUUUUGCUCCUUGACUAAUGACAGUUUGAAGUCUGUUUUCUCGUUUUCCUGGUUGGCGACACAGAGUCCCCAAAGUCCUCUGUCGUGAGUCAGGAGGCCCUGGUUGGAGCUGCAAACAGGAAUUAGUCAUCGCAGAAGCCAACUGCACGUCCCCGGGUCAUCUGCGUCCACCGGCAGUGAAGACAAACUCACACAGGCAGCUCCCAGCUUCCUCUCGGCUCGCUCCUUUCCUGGUCUACUCCACCUCGAGCACUGAGACGCCGCCGUCUUCCAGAACUAUCUUAGAUUACCUCCCUUGCCCACACCUCCCCGUCCCAGCCUGAGCCAAGGCUGCAGGCUGCAUCACGCUCUUGCCAUCUGCCCACUUCCAGCCACAUCCCCAUCUUCUCCCGGCUUCAAGCUGCCAUCUCAUCUUAGCCAGAGCUCUACACGGAUCUUGCCCCAUCCUCCCUAUGCCUGACAGUGAGUUUUCCCCAAAUAUAAAGCAGAACACUUAAAAUAUUAACCAAAGCUCCACUGGUUCCACAUGGGACUAAGAACAGAGGCCUGCUCCGUCCAGCAGCCGCUAACCCAGUCCUCCCACUCUUCUCACUAAACACAGCUCCAUCGCUGCCUGUACGGUGUCACAACUUCAGGACCUUUCUGUUUCUCUGCCACACUUUCUCUUACUUUUAAAGUCUUUAAGCCUUACUGCAGCUGCCUCCUCCUUUCUCAGGUGCUGGUUCUGGUGUCUCUUUCCUCAGAAGACAGGCUCCCCGACUGUACCCUGUAAAGCGAGCCUCUCUGUCCCACAGCUCUGUGAUGUACAAAUGUGCCAAAGAUAGCCUAGCCCUGUGGAUUGGUCCCAAGGUUGUUUCCUCGCAGCAGGCUGAGUCUAGUUAAUUCAAAAACCCACAGUGGAAAACUCAAAUGGCUACGCAUCUACUUGUUUUUAGAAUAGCUCACUAAAGAAACAUUUUCAUUUACUCUGGACCGGAAGCUAUGCAUAUUCCAUAAAACUAUACCUUCUUCUGCUGGAUAUUAACAAAAAUAACUUAUAAGUCUCAGGGCUCUACUGCCUCUGGGGAAAACUGACACCAAGGCCCUGAUGUAUCCUGAAGCAACAUCACCUGGAUAUGUCAACAUCACCUGGAUAUGUCCACGUAGCCUCCAGCGCCUCAGCUUUUAGGGUUCUCUUGUCCUCCGCCACUUUUGGGUGGUAGCUCCUUGAACAAAACUUCUUUUAAAAGCCCCGAGGCUAUCCCAUCCCCCUCCCCUCUAUCAGCCACGCUAAACCAUUUCCC